AUGUCUAUUUCUCCUCAACUCUGGCCUACUGAUGCUCACAUUUCCUAUGCUGAAAACCUGGAACUUUUGACGCCCUUAUCUGAGGUUGAGACUGAUGAAGUGGUAGCGACAUCAAAGUCUAACUCUACUCCUGGCCGGGAUGGCUUCUCUAUGUCGUUCUUCAAAAAGUUCUGGCCUGUUAUGAAAUUCCUUGUUUACGCUAUCAUCCAAGGUUUUUGCCUCGGGACGGUAGAUAUUUUUUGGCUGAACUAUGCCGUAAUUUCUCUAGUUCCUAAUGUUAAGGGUGCUGACUCCAUUCGUCAAUUUAGUCCUACUGUGCUCAUCAAUAAUAUUGUUAAGUUCCCUUCAAAAAGUUUUGAUUCUCACUUAUCCCCGGUGGCCCAUAGGGUUAUUGGGUGA
This 399-nucleotide ribosomal RNA is filed under the name Triticum aestivum (bread wheat). Its description in RNAcentral is "partial small subunit ribosomal RNA". Lineage: Eukaryota; Viridiplantae; Streptophyta; Magnoliopsida; Poales; Poaceae. The record is from RNAcentral.